AGCAUAUCUAUGAACACUUCAAAAUAUUAAAAAAUUGAUAGUAUAGAUAAUACAUUGCAAGAUAUACUUUUUUUUAAGACCUGAAAUAUAUUUGUUCUCAUGUCCAUAUAGAUUAAGAUCGAGAUAAUCAAAAUGAGGGUUUUGCAGCAUCGAAACAAUUUCUUCUUGUAAAUUUUUGCGGUGUGCUUUAGUUUGAUUGUUUAGAGCCGCACCCUUAUAUAAACUUUUUCUUUAUUUAAAUUAGCAAAAAUGAGUGAUGAGCUAAAUUGAGGACCACUAAAUUUGAAACAGCUUUCAAUAAAGUAAUAGUUUGCCAAUGAUUUCAAUAAAGUGAUGGACAGCUACAAGUAAAGAGUAAAUUCUCAGCAACUUCGUGAAGGCCACGCCAUGUUUUUAUACAGGGAUAACAAGCCAAUUGUGAGAGGAGAGAGGGUAGUGUGAAGUUUGAUGCUCCUAUUUUUCAGAGAGAGGGGUAGAGAGAGAGAGAGAGAAGGAAAGAAAUGGGUAGGGCGCAAUCUGAUGCUGCUAGUUCUUAGACAGAGAAAAGCUGAGUUUUUCAACGAGUGUGAGAGAUUUCAUUGCGAUCGGCAUUUCGACAAAAAAAAACUUGAGAAUAAGGAACAUCUUGAACAUGGAAGUGAGAUCAUAUACAUGAGAGAGAUUUAUGAGGUUGAAUUCUUCUCACAAUUUGAAAUUUUCUUGACUGAUAUAAUACAAGUUUGAAGGGUAUGAUAUUAAGGUUUUUCUAUGUUUUAGGGGGCUUGAGAGGGGUAGAUGGAGAUAAUGUGAUGGUUUACCCCUUGCCGCAACGAAGUACUAGUACGUCUUAAGGAAAUGGAGACAUAACUAAUGUUUCUUAUAUUGCUCAAUACCACUAAUAUGAAGGUCUGCCAUUGUAAUGUGAAAGAGCUAAUAUGAAGGUGGAUGUUUGCCCCUUAUGAUGGGAGGCUUUGUCCCUCGCAUUAACCUCCAUCACAAAAAACAAUGUAAUUAUCAUAUAUGCUUCUUGUAUUGCUUUACUGUAUAUUGGAUUGUCAAAGUGAAGUUUUAUUGCUUCUUGUAUCAUUUAUUUAUGAGAUUCAUCUAAUGGAAAGCUUUUAUUUUC
Amborella trichopoda is the source of this 1105-nucleotide non-coding RNA. The record is from RefSeq and is a predicted model, not a curated record. NCBI's taxonomy places the organism in Eukaryota, Viridiplantae, Streptophyta, Magnoliopsida, Amborellales, Amborellaceae.